GUUUCCGUAGUGUAGUGGUUAUCACAUGCGCUUCACACGCGCAAGGUCNUGGGUUCGAACCCNAGUGGAAACA
Molecule: transfer RNA, 73 nt
Filed under: Actinia tenebrosa (Australian red waratah sea anemone)
Lineage: Eukaryota; Metazoa; Cnidaria; Anthozoa; Actiniaria; Actiniidae
Description: tRNA-Val
Rfam family: tRNA
About the family: Transfer RNA (tRNA) molecules are approximately 80 nucleotides in length. Their secondary structure includes four short double-helical elements and three loops (D, anti-codon, and T loops).
Source: RNAcentral